RNAcentral lists this long non-coding RNA (1128 nucleotides) under Homo sapiens (human). RNAcentral's name for it is "HSALNT0279280". The record is from RNAcentral. Lineage: Eukaryota; Metazoa; Chordata; Mammalia; Primates; Hominidae.
CAGACUCACGUCUUCCUCCCCAAAGGUCCUGGGAGCCCAGCGAGGGAGCCCAGAGUGUCUACCAUUCACAGAGAGCCUUUCCAGAGCAGCAGGUCAAUUCUCUGAUAAAAUCAGAAAGCUGAUGGCCAGGCAUGGUGGUGUGUGACUGUGGUCCCAGCUACUCACAAGGCUGAGAUGGGAGGAUCGAUUAAGCCCAGGAGGUGGAGGCUGCGGGAAGCCAUGACUGAGACACUGCACUGCAGCCUGGGCAACAGAGCGAGACCCUGUCUCUAAAAAACAAAUAACAAAACCAAAACAAAAGCAAGCAAGCAGAAACUGACGACUACUCAAACACCUGGGAAAAUAAAACGUCGGAUUCGAAGCGCCUUUCUCCCAAACCGGCUCUGAGAUGUGCUGGCCUCUCCUCUCCAAGACUUGGGGAUGAGGGCUGCAAGUAGUCUGGGACCACCUUCAGGUGAGGCUGGGCUGUGGGUGCUGGCAGGAGCCUGAGGACCCCAAUGACACAGGCCACCCUUCACCGCCAGUGCGGGGGUGCACUGGCCUCCCCUGUGGGGCUGACCCUGCUCAUGAAACCACACAUUCUGAGCUAGAAUCCUGAAAACACAGAACACAGAACAGCCUCUCCUAGGGCUGCAGUGUGACUCACCACCCAUGGUGCUUUGGCCACUGUGGGCUCCUUGCGUCAGAAUAAUGUCAAUAGUAAAAGUUACUUUGGACAUAGCUAAAUCUUUUGACUUGUUUUUUUUUCCAUUAUAGGCAGAAUUCAAUAGGUUUUCAUGGGUGCUAAAAUUUUCGUUUUGUUUUCCAGUGUGAGAAAAAACUAAAAUACUUGCUUUGAAUCUACAAGGUCACACUCCCCCACAUUUUAAAAGAAACGAAAACAUUUUCAUGGGUCCCCAAAGCAUCCUGGACGCUGCUGAUGCCCUGUGCCCAGUGGGGAGUCGAGUCUGGCUUUAUCGAUGUGUAGCCGACAUGCAGGAGCUGCUCAGGACUGAGCAGUGCGCACUUUGGUAAGGCUGGACGUGAAACCAUGUCCACCAUCGGGAGAAUGAACAGACCGCCCCCUGAAGAUUCUCUGUGCCCCUCUGCAGACUCCCUUCCUAGCCCACCCGCCUCCCCACACCCCUC